This 218-nucleotide long non-coding RNA is filed under the name Gossypium raimondii (Peruvian cotton). RNAcentral describes it as "long non-coding RNA (GRAI_LNC008931)". Lineage: Eukaryota; Viridiplantae; Streptophyta; Magnoliopsida; Malvales; Malvaceae. The record is from RNAcentral.
GAGGGGAUUUUCGGGGAUUUUCCUUGAUUUUUCUUUUGAUUUCUUUUUUUUCUUUCUUUCUGUAAUUCGGGCUAUAUAAAGCCAUUACAAAAUUUUGUAAAGGGUUACACUGACGGAGAAUAUCAAUAGAAACGAAAAAAAUUAAAAAGAAAAAGGUGAUUUGUUCUCUGAUUUCGAUUUUUUUUCAUUUUUCUUUUUGCCUCUGUUUUCAUUUCGUU